Triticum dicoccoides is the source of this 3163-nucleotide long non-coding RNA. RefSeq lists it as uncharacterized. The transcript is spliced from 3 exons. Lineage: Eukaryota; Viridiplantae; Streptophyta; Magnoliopsida; Poales; Poaceae. The record is from RefSeq and is a predicted model, not a curated record.
AUUUUCUCUGCCUUUUCUUUGUUUCUAUGAAAUCUUCAAACUUGACCGUUCAAGGGCAGGAACUAGAAUCAAGUGCAAUGCUCCAUUGUGAUGGGCUCUUAUUUAUGACAAGAAAAUUUUCACGGUCCUAGGUUAGUGCUGGCUCAGUCAUUAGAGUGAGGUAUAUAUUCCUUAUUGCAGAGCAUGCGUAUUUCAAUCUUGGUUAAGGGAAUUAGUCAAAAUGCCUAUUAUACCGUCUGGGCGUGAAUGGCAAAGCUGCCAAAGUUUUAUCAAGCAGCACAACAGAAGGAUGUGUGGUCAGUAAUGUACUGAGUGAUUUAGAAUUCUCAACACCACCAUGUGUUUCAGAUGUGGAAGAUUUUAUUCAGGUCAGAAAACAUUACCACCACGUGUACUAGCAAGUGUAAGUAACAAGGUGGCCAAACCAAGGCUAGUGUCUCAUUAAAUGUUCAACUUUAUGAGGCAUUAUGCAAUGUGAGGUAAGAUAACAGUCAACAUCACGAAAGCACCUUAUGUGGAUAUACAGGAGAGCAAUCAUGCGAUUUACAUGACUUGUCGAGAAGAUAUACUUGCAAGAGUUGAAUAUUGCAUAUUGCGUAGUACUCAUACAGUUCCUAAAAGCUAUAGGCAUUCUUGCAUGCUAUAUUUACUAAUUGGGGGCUCUUUUUAAGCCACCACUUCUCUAGAGGAAUUUAUUAGAAGUUUUCAAAAGGAGAUCAUCUGACUAUUGGUUUGAUAAUACUCCCUCUGUCUCAAAAUGUAAUAGUGUCAAAAAACGUCUUACAUUUUGAGACAGUACAAGGACCCUCAGAUAUUUGUAAUAGUUUUUGUUGUACACGAUAGCAGAAGUGCUACUUGCACAUGAUACAUGGUACACGUGAAGUUGAUUCGUCCCUCGACAAAAGAGUCCAACCAGUCAUAGUUAAUCAGAGGAGAGAAAAGUUUUGACGGACACAUUGCCCUAUCGGAUGGAUACAACAACUAUUCCAUAGAUGUCAUGAUAUUGUGCGUACCUAUCAAGUUGAACCAUCUGUCAAAAAGAAAAAUGAAACUGAAUAAUCGUAAUUAGCAGGAAGAAAGCUGCUGUUGGUCAUGUUCCCUAAUAGGAUAGAUAGUUAUGUGUUGGCACAAGUACGAGGAGGCUGCUAAGAAAUAGUAUGCAUCUAUCUUAUACUUCUGAAAAGAGGGUGAAAUUUCCUGUAUUAAUAAGAGACGGACAGGAUCUAUGAUGGAUGCUAUGUAUUUUUUUUCACCACCCAUUGAUUGUGGUAUAUGCUGGAAUAAUGUAAGGGAAAAACAAAUAAAACUUCCCCGAAACUAAAUGUUUUGUGUAGCAUAGCCAUUCCAUCUAUAGAAGAGAACGUCUCAUAAUUCUCAAUCAAUAUUGCCUAUGUAGAAAGUGGUAUAUGUUAAUGUUACAUCAAGAUUAUGUCUGUCUUAGGUAUCAUAUAUACACAUAUUCUCAGAUUAAGUAAACAGUUGGAAAUCCAUUCUGAUUAAGUAAAUAACAGGCGAGCAUCCUCAUCAAUUUUGAACAUAAUACAUGUGCCGUGAUUUCAGUUCAUUGGUCUUUUUAAAUCGUCCUUGAAUUUAACAAAUGUGUCAAAUUAUCCAUUAGACUACAGAUAAGUGUACCAAUCCUAGAUAGAAAUCUAACAAAUCAAUCUUGGUUGACAAGAAAAAACAGUUCUUGGAAAUCCUAGGUCAUUGGGCUGCAAGACUUCCGAAAAUUGGAAGUAAAACAAUUGAGAAUGACAAAUUGACAAUACAAUUAAGUAAAUCUAAUUGAAGUAGUAAUAGAAUUUAUCUUUGGGUAGCAAUUUAAAAGUAUGAAGGGCGGGCCGGGCACAGUGGUAGUCUCUCUCCAUUUGUGGCCUGGCGGCCUGGGUUCAAACCAGCCUCUUUGCAGAAUUAUUAUGCAAGGGUAAGGUUGUCUAGAAAUUCCCUUCCCCAGACCCCACUUUGUGUGGGAGCUUUCAGCACUGGGUACGCCCUUUAGCAAUUAAAAGUAUGAUAUGUUUUCAGUAAUAUUCUUUCAAUGUAUUCCUAUAUAUCUCAGUAUCUCACAUAUAACAAAUUCUGUAAAUUGUUGUACUGUGAUGUGAUUUAAAAAUUAUAGCCAUCCAGUUACAUGGGGCUGAUGACUAGGGCUUAGUUUGGCAGCACAGUUUUUAGAAAACCGUGGUAAUUCAAAACUACAGUGUUCCAAUGUGCGGGCAAGGAAUACUACAGUUUCUUAAACCGUAGUUUUUUUCAGUUUUACCAAAACUACCGAGGUGUUUGGCUGGUGCUGUUUUACCAUAAUUUUGACCGGUUGUUACGUGUGGACGGCAACUGAACCUAACUCAGCUACACUAAAGGAGUUACACGACCGGACUAAUUAGCGUUUGCUAACGGCCGCAGGCUGCAUGCAGUCGCCAUGCAUGAGGUGGCUGAUGUUUAAGGCUUCAACUAACACACCCAUAUGUAUUCUGCUUCAAAUGAACACGCCAUUGCAAGGGAAGAUGACUAAUUGGCUAUCAUCGAAGCUUUGUAUGCUAGUGAUAGAACUUCGGCCAAUCACACACGUAUUCAUACAUCCAUCCUUACGGGAGACCGAAUUGAGAUGUAAAAGAGAUUUUCAGAUGGAGAAGUAUAUUUUUCGUAACUUGGUCCAGUGCCUUUGAGAGGGAUGCCAUCUAAGAGAUACAAAUUUUGUCUCGGUGGAAGAACAGGUAGGCAUAUUUCUUUAUGCCGUUUCGAACAAUGCAACCAAUUGUACACUCCAAGGGCAAUUUCAGCAUAGUGGUGAGACCAUAAGCCGCUAUUCCAAUAUUGUGUUGAACGCACUCAUGAUAUUUUCUGGAAGUGUAAUACAGUUGCCUCCAAUUAAUGUUCCUUUCAAAGUUGCAAGCAAUCCAAAAUUUAUGCCAUAUUUCAUGGUAUUAUUCACAGUAAACUCACCACAGUUGAGUAAUAUUAGUGUCACAAAGGCUUGGAUAUAAGCGCAUCAUAAUCGACAAUAGCUAACUUGGGAGUUAGAGGGCUUGCCUAGGAUAUCUGAUUCCGAGGCUUUAAUUCAGUGGAGUUACUGAACUACUGAUAAUUUGCAUCUUGAUGUACCACAUGACAUGUUAUACUCCCCCUUUUAGAACAUAAUAUCUCAUAUCCUUUUUUUCGUUAU